Long non-coding RNA from Drosophila navojoa, 817 nucleotides. NCBI's taxonomy places the organism in Eukaryota, Metazoa, Arthropoda, Insecta, Diptera, Drosophilidae. The record is from RefSeq and is a predicted model, not a curated record.
UCGUAUAUAUUGAUUUGAGAGACAUCCUUUAAUUGUAGACAAAACAGAACUUUAACACUCAACCAACGGCUUAUUAUGUCAUUUAACUAAAUUUAGAUUUGAACGCACAACGCUGAAAUACUUUGCAUUUGAAGCUCUCUGGCUUAAGGCGCUCUCUCGCUCUCAAUACUUUAAUUAUUUCUGUUUUGUCAUGUCAUAACUUUUUAUACCUCAAUCUUUGCUUCCCUAUGCCAUUCAUGUUUAUGUUGUUCCAGUUGUUGUUGUUCAUGAAGUGAGCCGGCGAAAUGCACAAUGAAAACAACAGAAAGCAGCGAGUGCGAUUGAGAGAGUGAGAGAUAGAAAAAGAGAGUGAGCAACAGAAACAGCUGACGCCAUUGAGCAAAACGGCGUCUGUUGAGGGAAAAUUCAAAUUAUUGCAACAGUUAUUUAUAUUGAACAAAGCGAGCCGGACAAGCGAGCGCUCGUCGCUCGGUCGAGUUUUUAUUGUUGUUUGCCUCAUUAUUAAAAAUAAACGAAACGAUUCCGAACGAUACCGAACCUAUCCAAUAAAACGCUUGAUUGAACUGAAGCGUUCCUUUGCAUAUGAAUGCAAUAUCGAAGCAAAGCUUAAUAAAAACAAACGACUAAACUAAAAUCAACACCUAAAACUCAAUAUCAAGAUGCUGUACAAAUAUUGGGAAUCACUGUAAUUGCGAAUGCAGUGAUAUUCUGUGAUAGUUCUGUGAGUAUGUAUUGCGACUUUUGUAGCGCAGUGUAAACGUAAGCGUCACAUGGCUAUUUGUUUUGGUGCUGUCAUUUGUGUAUCUACCUGCCAAAA